GUGAAACCAGGUUAACUCGUCAAACUCGGGAUAUGUUUCAUGAAAUUAUGAUAACUAAAUAGAAAGAAAUUUAACAUUAACAAACUAAACUAAACGAAAAAAAAUUAAUUAAAAAGAAAAAAAGCAAAAAAAAAAUCCGGGUUAACUCGUCAAACCAAGUUAACCUGUUAAACCCGGGAUCCGUGCCAUGAAAGUCUGAUAACUAAAUUAAAAAAAUUAACACUAAC
RNAcentral lists this long non-coding RNA (227 nucleotides) under Populus trichocarpa (black cottonwood). Its description in RNAcentral is "long non-coding RNA (PTRI_LNC001966)". Lineage: Eukaryota; Viridiplantae; Streptophyta; Magnoliopsida; Malpighiales; Salicaceae. The record is from RNAcentral.